CGACCUCAGGUCAGACGUGGCGACCCGCUGAAUUAAGCAUAUUAGUCAGCGGAGGAAAAGAAACUAACGAGGAUUCCCUCAGUAACGGCGAGUGAAGAGGAAGACCCAGCGCCGAAUCCCCGCCCCGCGGUGGGCGCGGGAGGUGGCGUACGGAAGCCCCCAUCCCCGGCGCCGGCUCUCGGGGGGCCCAAUCCUUCUGAUCGAGCCCAGCCCGCGGACGGUGUGAGCCGGUAGCGGCCCCCGCGCGCCGGGCCCGGCUUCUCGGAGUCGGGUUGCUUGGAAUGCAGCCCAAAGCGGUGGUAAACUCCAUCUAAGCAAAUACCGGCACGAGACCGGAUAGCCAACAAGUACCGAAGGGAAAGUUGAAAAGAACUUGAAGAGAGAGUUCAAGAGGGCGUGAACCGUUAAGAGGUAAACGGGGUGGGGUCCGCGCAGUCGCCCGGAGGAUUCAACCCGGCGGGCCAAGGUCGGCCGGCGCGGCGCCGUCCGGAUCCCCGCCUCCGCCUCCCCCCGUCCCUCCCCUUCGCCGGGCGGCGCCCAGGGCGGGCCGGCCGGGACCGCCGCCCGCCGCGUCCGGCCCCCGUCGGGCGCAUUCCUCCGCGCGUGCGCCGCGACCGGCUCCGGGACGGCUGGAAGGGCUGCCGGCGGCAGGUGGCCCGGCGCCGCGCGAGCGGCCGCCGUGUUAUAGCCGCCGGGCCCGGAUCGUCGCCGGAUCCCGGGCCGAGGAGAGGACCGCCGCCGCCCCUCCCCGGAGGGGCGGCCCCCCGGAGGGCCCCCCGCGGCCGGACCGGCGUCGGGCCGCCGCGCCGCGCGCGCGUCCGCGCCGCCGCCGUACGCCGCCGCUCGCUCUCUCUCCGUUCCCCCGCCCCGGGUCCGUCCCGGGCGCGGGCGGGGGGGUCCGGGUGUCCGGCGCGCGGCUCGGCGCGGCGCCGCGCGUGUGGCGCGCGCCUCCAGCCCCGGCGCGGGCGAGGCGCGGGGGCGCCGGGGGGAACCUUCCCCCUUCUGUUCGGGCCGCCUCCGUUCCCGCGGGGGGCGCCCGUUCGGGGACGGCCCGCCGCCCCCGCGCCGCUGUCCACCGGGGCGACUGCGCUCAGUCCGCCCCGACCGGCGCGGCGCCGCCGGGCCGGGCUCGGGCCACGCCAGGCCCCGGGUCCGCGGCGACGUCGGCUACCCCACCCGACCCGUCUUGAAACACGACCAAGGAGUCUAGCACGCGCGCUGAGUCGGCGGCUCCGCGACAAGCCCCGCGGCGCAAUGAAGGUAGGCCGCGCGCCGCCGGCGAGUGGAUCCCGGGCGCAGCCCGAAGCCCCGGCGCCACCACCGGCCCUCCGCCCGCCUCGCCGGGGAGGUGAGCAUGAGCGCGCGUGCUAGGACCCGAAGAUGUGAACUAUGCUGGGCAGGGCGAAGCCAGAGGAAACUCUGGUGGAGGUCCCUAGCGGUCCUGACGUGCAAAUCGUCGUCCGACCCGGGUAUAGGGGCGAAAGACUAAUCGAACCACCUAGACUGGUCCCUCCGAAGUUUCCCUCAGAUACUGGCGUCGGGCGGCGGUGCAGUUUACCCGUAAAGCGAAUGAUUAGAGGUCUUGGGCCGAAACGAUCUCAACCUAUUCUCAAACUUCAAUGGUAAGACGCACCGGCUCGCUGGCGUGGACCGGCCGUGGAAUGCGAGCGGCUCAGUGGGCCACUUUGUAAGCAAACUGGCGCUGCGGAUGAACCGAACGCCGGGUUAAGGCGCACCGAUGCCGACGCUCAUGCAGAGCCCAGAAAAGUUUGGUUAUCUAGACAGCAGGACGGUGGCCAUGGAAUCGGAACCCGCUAAGGAGUGGUGUAACACCACCUGCCGAAUCAACUACCCUGAAAAUGGAUGGCGCUGGAGCGUCCGCCCAUACCCGGCCGCGCCGGCGGUGCGGAGCCGCGGGGCUACGCCGCGACGAUAGGAGGGCCGCUGCGGUGCGCCUGGAAGCCUGGGCGCGGGCCCGGGUGGAGCCGCCGCAGGUGCAGAUCUUGGUGGUAGAGCAACUAUUCAAACGAAGAGCUUGAAGCCGAAGUGGAGCAGGGUCCAUGUAACAGCAGUUGAACAUGGUCAGUCGGUCCUAAGCGAUAGGCGAGCGCCGUUCCGAAGGGACGGCGAUGGCCUCCCGUUGCCCUCAGCCGAUCGGAAAGGGAGUCGGUUCAGAUCCCCGAAUCCGGAGCGGCGGAGACGGCGCCGCGAGCCGCCCAGUGCGGUAACGCAAGCGAUCCCGGAGAAGCCGGCGGGCCCCGGGGAAGUUCUCUUUCUUUGUGAAGGCCGGGCGCCCUGGAACGGGUUCCCCCGAGAGAGGGCCCGCGCCUUGGAAAGCGGUCGCGGUUCCGGCGGCGUCCGGUGAGCUCUCGCUGGCCCGUGAAAAUCCGGGGGAGAGGUGUAAAUCUCGCCCGGGCCGUACCCAUAUCCGCAGCAGGUCUCCAAGUGAACAGCCUCUGGCAUGUGGGACCAAUGUAGUAAGGGAAUUCGCAAGCCGGAUCCGUAACUUCGGGAUAAGGAUUGGCUCUAGGCUGGGUCCGGUCGGCUGGGCGCGAAGCGGGCUGGGCGCGCGCCGCGCUGACCGAGGCCCCGGCCCGCCGCCGCCCCUCCUUUGCCGGGGCGCCGGGGGGGGUCGCGGCGGCGCGCGGCGCGACCUGGACGCAGCCGCCGGGCCUUCCGGGAUGCCCGCUGCGCGGCGCUCGCUCGCCGGCCCGCCCCGUCCCGGGCCGUCGUCCGGCCGCCCCCCGCCGAGCGUGCGAGCGGGCGCGAGGGGCGGCGGCGGCGGCGCGGGCGCGGCGGCGGCGGGGGGGGCCGCGGCGGCGCCGGGCGGGCGUUCCCGGGCGGGGGGGGGUCUCCGGGCCGGCGCCCCGCCUCGGCCGGCGCCUAGCAGCCGGCUUAGAACUGGUGCGGACCAGGGGAAUCCGACUGUUUUAAUUAAAACAAAGCAUCGCGAAGGCCGCGGCGGGUGUGACGCGAUGUGAUUUUCUGCCAGUGCUCUGAAUGUCAAGUGAAGAAAUCAAUGAAGCGCGGGUAAACGGCGGGAGUAACUAUGACUCCUCUAAGGUAGCCAAAUGCCCUCGUCAUCUAAUUAGUGAACGCGCAUGAAUGAGAUGAACGAGAUUUCCCACUGUCCCUACCUACUCUCGCAGCGAAACCACAGCCAAGGGAACGGGCUUGGCGGAAUCAGCGGGAAAGAAGACCCUGUUGAGCUUGACUCUAGUCUGGCGCUGUGAAGAGACAUGAGAGGUGUAGAAUAAGUGGGAGGCCCCGCGUCGCAGCGACCGCCGCCGCGGCCCGGCCGCCGGUGAAAUACCACUACUCUGAUCGUUUUUCACUUACCCCGGUGAGGCGGGGGGGCGAGCCCCGAGGGGGCUCUCGCUUCUGGCGCCAAGCGCCCGGCGCGCGCCGGGCGCGACCCGCUCCGGGGACAGCGUCAGGUGGGGAGUUUGACCUUGGGGCGGUACACCUGUCAAAGCGUCACGCAGGUGUCCUAAGGCGAGCUCAGGGAGGCCAAGAACCUCCCGUGGAGCAGAAGGGCAAAAGCUCGCUUGAUCUUGAUUUCAGUACGAUACAGACGUGAAAGCGGGCCUCACGAUCCUUCUGACUUUUUGGUUUUAAGCAGGAGUGUCAAAAAUUACCACAGGAAACUGCUGUGGCGCCAAGCGUUCAUAGCACCGUCCUUUUUGACCUCGAUGUCGGCUCUUCCUAUCAUGUAAGCAGAAUUCACCAGCUUGAUUUCACCCCUAAUAGGAACUGACUGGGUUUAGACCGCGUGAACAGUAGUUUACCCUACUGAUAGUGUUGUUAGCGCAGUAAUCCGCUCAACAGAGGAACCGCAGGUUCAGACAUUUGGUGUAUGUGCUGUGGAGCUGGAGGACGUGGUCCACUCCGAAGAGCGAGCGUGGGCCGUAGCCGAUCGGUGCGGAGCGCCGCUCGUGGUCGGGACCGGAGCGCGGACAGAUGUGGCGCCGCCUCUCCCCCGCCGCGUACCGCAUGUUCGUGGGAACCCGGUGCUAAAUCAUUCGUAGACGACCUGAUUCUGGGUCGGGGUUUCGUACGUAGCAGAGCAGCUCCCUCGCUGCGAUCUAUUGAGAGUCAGCCCUCGACACAAGCUUUUGU
Gallus gallus (chicken) is the source of this 4119-nucleotide non-coding RNA. The record is from Rfam. Lineage: Eukaryota; Metazoa; Chordata; Aves; Galliformes; Phasianidae.